Molecule: ribosomal RNA, 513 nt
Filed under: uncultured bacterium
Lineage: Bacteria
Description: partial 16S ribosomal RNA
Rfam family: Bacterial small subunit ribosomal RNA
Source: RNAcentral
GACGAACGCUGGCGGCGUGCCUAAUACAUGCAAGUCGAGCGGACUAAUGGGAGCUUGCUCCCGUUAGUUAGCGGCGGACGGGUGAGUAACACUUGGGCAACCUACCUGUAAGACUGGGAUAACUUCGGGAAACCGGAGCUAAUACCGGAUGACAUAAAGGAACUCCUGUUCCUUUAUUGAAAGAUGGCUUCGGCUAUCACUUACAGAUGGGCUCGCGGCGCAUUAGCUAGUUGGGGAGGUAACGGCUCACCAAGGCGACGAUGCGUAGCCGACCUGAGAGGGUGAUCGGCCACACUGGGACUGAGACACGGCCCAGACUCCUACGGGAGGCAGCAGUAGGGAAUCUUCCGCAAUGGACGAAAGUCUGACGGAGCAACGCCGCGUGAGCGAUGAAGGCCUUCGGGUCGUAAAGCUCUGUUGUUAGGGAAGAAUAAGUGCUAGUUGAAUAAGCUGGCACCUUGACGGUACCUAACCAGAAAGCCACGGCUAACUACGUGCCAGCCGCCGCGGUAA